UACGUAGGGUGCGAGCGUUGUCCGGAAUUACUGGGCGUAAAGAGCUCGUAGGUGGUUUGUCGCGUUUGUCCGUGAAAUUCCCUGGCUUAACUGGGGGCCUGCAUUCGAUACGGGCAGACUAGAGUUCGGUAGGGGAGUCGUGGAAUUCCUGGGUGUAGCGGUGGAAAUGACGCAGAUAUCAGGAGGAACACCGGUGGCGAAGGCGGGACUCUGGGCCGAUACUGACGCUGAGGAGCGAAAGCGUGGGGAGCAAACAGG
Molecule: ribosomal RNA, 258 nt
Filed under: uncultured bacterium
Lineage: Bacteria
Description: partial 16S ribosomal RNA
Rfam family: Bacterial small subunit ribosomal RNA
Source: RNAcentral